RNAcentral lists this long non-coding RNA (416 nucleotides) under Capsella grandiflora. Its description in RNAcentral is "long non-coding RNA (CGRA_LNC001025)". The record is from RNAcentral. Lineage: Eukaryota; Viridiplantae; Streptophyta; Magnoliopsida; Brassicales; Brassicaceae.
UUUUUUGUGAAGAACAGAACGAAAAGGAAUCUUAAAUUGUCCAUCAGAGAUUUUACCAGACGAACUAACAACACUUUCACAAACUAGAGCUAAGUUCAAACCCUCAAUUCAAAAUAAUUCCUUUAAGAUUAAACGAAGCAUCUAGCUAGAUUAUGAUCGAAACCCUAAGGAGGACGAUGAAUUGGGGUCAAUUCAGGAAAGAUCUCUAUUGAAUAAAUUAAAAAGAAGAGAUUGUGAAAACUCACCGGCGUGACAAAUCGACGGCGACGGCGAGAUUCGAUGAGCUAGGGAGAAGACAAGGCUCGGCGAAGAAAGAUUCUCUCUCGUUCUAUCUAGCCUUGCUCACAUAGAAGAAGAAGAAGAAGAAGAAGCAUUAAUGCCAUUUUUUCUCUUAUCCCCCUUUUGCUCCAAUUAUU